UUUUUGCGAGGGUCUAAACAGCGGUUAGGGAUCGGUCAAAGAAAAAAAGAAAGGGAACGCUCCCUUUUGUGCUCCAGCGCGCCGCCGCCUUCUCCCGCCGGAGCCGCUCGACUCCUCCUAGAGCGCGCCAGCCCGCUGCCGCCGCCUCCCGCUGGAGCUGCUCGCCUCCUCCUCGCGCGCACCCGCCGGAGCCGCCUCACCCUACCCGCCGCUGCCUGCUUCCCUGCUCGCGCCGCGCCGCGCCGCGAUGGAGAGGAAAGAGAGGCGGGUUCUGCACUUCUGCUCCCCCUACCCCGCUGACUCCUCGCGCGCGCCGGCGCGCGGGCCGGACAUCCGGGUGCCGCCUGCCGGAAAGGGGAUAUGAGGUGGCGGAGAGUCUUGCUAGGAGGAGAGGGGGCCAUUGGAGGAGGGCUGGAGGUCGCUGCGCAUGGCCCGUCAGCAUCGGCGAGGUUGACUGGGCAAGAGGCGAGCGCCAACAGAGGUGCCGGGGAGGAGCAGGCCGCCGGCGCGGUCAUAGGAGAGGGUGCCGACCGGAGGCAGAGCCGACGACCCCUAGGACCGCCACCUGUGCCACCACUGCUGUCAUCAUCAACAUCCUGUAUGAUUUUUCAUUGUUGUUGUUAUCAGGGAUGCGCUGGAACGAGGGCACAGGACUAGGGCCGUUGGACAUCAUUCAUGCUAGCAGAUAAGGACACCAGCAACACCAGCAACAGGUAGAAAACAAGAUUUCUACUGAACUUCGUCGAUUUAAGCAAAGCUUUUGAACAUAUGGUCAUCCAUUGAGGCUCCCGCAAUUCCAGUUUGCAAAGCUUUUGAACAUAUGGUCAUCCAUUGAGGCUCCCGCAAUUCCAGUUUGCAUGUUCUGCCAUCAUUUUGGAUCAUAUUUUCCAUGCUUAUGGAAGGACAAAAUGAACUGUAGUUUUUGUUGGCAGUGAUCUCCAUUGGAUGUCCCGUCUCUUAGCUGGCCGUCAAUGAUACAACCAGGUCACGCAUGAGGUAGCAGUCCCCUCCAACCCAGUUGCUGAAGACUUGUCUCAUCUGGUUUCAUUGAUGCGUGCGAGUGAGGCACAUGCUGUCCAGGUCAAGUAAAACAUCAGCUUAUGAGAUCUGAAAGCAACAAAAGGGUACCAACUUUACACCCAUGUAAAAUACAGUGAUUUCAGUCCGUUCUAUGUAGCUAUUUUGAUUUCUUCACCUUCACACUCUUAUGAGAGCUGAAAGCUAUAAGCAGGGUACCAACUUAAUACCUAUCAGAAAUCCACAGAUUUAUGUCCUUUGUUUUAUCAACUUAGACUUUGUUUCAAUAGAGGACAUCAAGUUUGUGCUAGAAAUGAUAAACACCAACUGGAUGGCCAUGUGGGACAUCAAGAACAUCAUACAAGCACCUCACCAGCACAUGGCUAUGAUCAAGAGGGGUUUGCUACAGACCUAGAGUAAAUCCAUUGAACUUUGUUGAACUUUAAUUUUUAAUCCGCGUGUACUGGCUCUAUAAACAGUGAAGAUGGAUUUGUUGGGCAUGAUCCUAUUACACGGUUUGAGUUUUUCUUGCUCCUA
Non-coding RNA from Oryza sativa Japonica Group (Japanese rice), 1554 nucleotides. The record is from RefSeq and is a predicted model, not a curated record. Lineage: Eukaryota; Viridiplantae; Streptophyta; Magnoliopsida; Poales; Poaceae.